This 101-nucleotide small RNA is filed under the name Epilithonimonas hominis. RNAcentral describes it as "Chryseobacterium hominis Flavo-1 RNA". It matches the Rfam family "Flavo-1 RNA". Lineage: Bacteria; Pseudomonadati; Bacteroidota; Flavobacteriia; Flavobacteriales; Weeksellaceae. The record is from RNAcentral.
GUAUAGCCCCGAUGGUAGCGGCAUCCUUUUUUGAGCGAGGCGGCGGAGCGCAGUGGAGCCGCCCGAGCGAUAAAAAGAUACAGCGGACAGCGGGUUAUAAU